UGCGCAGUAUGGGAUGCGAAACCCAAAGGCGAAGAUAACACAACUGCAAAGUCGUUGCGGGAUUACGGGUGCACCACGGUCCGCAAGGAUCGGCCAGCUGUGCCGCCCCUCCAUCCCCGGGUGUUUAGCAAUGGAUCUGUAGUGUCGCGGACCCCCCGCCGGGGUGGACAUUUGCAGAGCCAGAGCGACAUACCGCGAGCGCGCAGGAUGUGACCCGAAAGAUGGUGAACUAUGCCUGAUCAGGUUGAAGUCAGGGGAAACCCUGAUGGAGGACCGAAGCAAUUCUGACGUGCAAAUCGAUUGUCAGAGUUGGGCAUAGGGGCGAAAGACCAAUCGAACCAUCUAGUAGCUGUU
Molecule: ribosomal RNA, 354 nt
Filed under: Anopheles yatsushiroensis
Lineage: Eukaryota; Metazoa; Arthropoda; Insecta; Diptera; Culicidae
Description: eukaryotic LSU rRNA
Rfam family: Eukaryotic large subunit ribosomal RNA
Source: RNAcentral